RNAcentral lists this ribosomal RNA (471 nucleotides) under uncultured bacterium. RNAcentral's name for it is "SSU rRNA". It matches the Rfam family "Bacterial small subunit ribosomal RNA", at positions 26 to 521 of the family's 1533-position model. The record is from RNAcentral.
AGAGCGAACGCUGGCGGCAGGCCUAACACAUGCAAGUCGAGCGCCCCGCAAGGGGAGCGGCAGACGGGAGAGUAACACGUGGGAACGUACCCUUCAGUUCGGAACAACCCAGGGAAACUUGGGCUAAUACCGAAUACGUCCGUAAGGAGAAAGAUUUAUCGCUGAAGGAUCGGCCCGCGUCUGAUUAGCUAGUUGGUGAGGUAACGGCUCACCAAGGCUACGAUCAGUAGCUGGUCUGAGAGGAUGAUCAGCCUCACUGGGACUGAGACACGGCCCAGACUCCUACGGGAGGCAGCAGUGGGGAAUAUUGGACAAUGGGCGCAAGCCUGAUCCAGCCAUGCCGCGUGGAUGAUGAAGGCCUUAGGGUUGUAAACUCCUGUCAUUUGGGAACAAGCGGCUCACGUUUACUGCGUGAGUCUUGAUAGUACCAGAAGAGGAAGGGACGGCUAACUCUGCGCCAGCAGCCGCGGU